CCGGAGGCGUGUGUCUGUGUGAAACGACUUUAUUUCAUGUGAUAAGUUUGUGGAAGAAGGUCGCCAUGUUAGGAGGCGUUUGCUAUUGUUUUACACAGACUACGAGGGACAGCGCUCGUUAAACCAGGUCUGUGAGGAUGAGAAGGUCUCCACAGUCUGGAGUCUGGUCUCUGACAGGCUCAACAUACCUGUCAAUCAACAAUUAACUCCUCUACAAAGGCAAGGCGCUGGCAGAUGAGCACAGACUGUCACACGACUCCAUCGCUCCCGAUUCCAAGCUGAACUCGUUGUGACGCCCCCAACAGAGAAAGUGUCACCCGAGCAAGAACAGCACUCCGUGUCACCCCUCCUCUCAGACCUCGCCCCUCACCCUCACCUCACCCCUCCUCUCACACCUUACCCCUCACCCCUCGCCACACCCCUCUUCUCACACCUCACCCCUCGCCUCACCCCUCCUGUCACCCCUCGCCCCUCCUCUCACCCCUCGCCUAACCCCUCCUCUCACCCCUCCUCUCACGCCUCGCCUCACCCCGGGUCAGUGUGGCACAGCCUGUCUGCUCUUCUGAACAAACACUUCAGCCCUGCCGACGCAGUGAGAGUCUGGAGCAGCAACACAAGGAUUACGAGCGGAGGCUGCGCUUGUUGAGCCUGGAUGAUAUGGAGUGGCUGGCGACCCGCAUGCUUCACCCUGAGGCUGUGGAGUGCAUGGAGCUGUCCUUCCUGGACUGAGGAAUACUGCUGCUGCCCUCUCCACCUCUCCCCUCUCCCCCCUCUUCUCCUCCCCCGCUCCCCUCUCUCCUCUCCUCUUUACUCUCUCCUCCCCCUCUCCUCUCCUUACUUUGUUUAAAAGAAUAGAAGCACACCCAGUGAGCAAGGCAUUGAGCAGCCCCACAUCCCGCUUCACAAUACCGCUACAUAUUGACUGACUGUUUGCAUCGUGUGUGUUUGGUAAGACAAACCACAUUUUCUCCUUUCUGCUAUUUUAAAAGGAGCCCAGUUUGGUGCAGGAGGCUUGUGGGUAACAGAGUGUGUUUUUGCUGGGGACUGCAGCCCUUCCGUUACCAUUGCUCGUAGAGGGGAGAUUGUUUUACUUUCAAGCCUUUUUCUUUAAUAAAUCCGGACGUUUGGAAAUACA
This is a long non-coding RNA of Acipenser ruthenus (sterlet), 1135 nucleotides long. RefSeq lists it as uncharacterized. The record is from RefSeq and is a predicted model, not a curated record. The transcript is spliced from 4 exons. Lineage: Eukaryota; Metazoa; Chordata; Actinopteri; Acipenseriformes; Acipenseridae.